GUUAUUAAAUGUCUUUGGACCCUCAGUUGUUUUUCUAGAUCUCUACUCUGAUUACAUGAAUUCAAGCUACCAUCAUCUGUCAUCCAAUUUCUGUAACAACUUUGUAAUUGGUGUCUGUUUCUAAUUUGCAAAUGUUUAUACAAGCUAUUUGGGUGGGAAAAUAAUAAAAGGACAUGAAUUCUCUUGAAUUGGCUAUUUGAUAGUAUGGUUAACAUGUUUAAGAAGAUGAGCUGGGCACAAUGGUGUACGCCUGUAACCCCAAUGAUGAAGGCAGCAGCAGGAGGAUUGCAAGGUCAGUGCCAGCCUCAGCAACUUAGGCCCUAAGCAAAUUAGCAAGACCAAGUCUCAAAACAAAGAAUACAAAAAAAGGGGAGGGGAUAUGUUUCAGUGAUUUAAGCACCUCUGGC
Molecule: long non-coding RNA, 407 nt
Filed under: Marmota monax (woodchuck)
Lineage: Eukaryota; Metazoa; Chordata; Mammalia; Rodentia; Sciuridae
Source: RNAcentral